GCCUGGGUGGCUUAAGUGGUGAAGCAUCUGGCUUCAGCUCAGGUCAUGAUCUCACGGUCCAUGGGUUCGAGCCCCGUGUCGGGCU
This 85-nucleotide transfer RNA is filed under the name Felis catus (domestic cat). It matches the Rfam family "tRNA". Rfam says of the family: Transfer RNA (tRNA) molecules are approximately 80 nucleotides in length. Their secondary structure includes four short double-helical elements and three loops (D, anti-codon, and T loops). Lineage: Eukaryota; Metazoa; Chordata; Mammalia; Carnivora; Felidae. The record is from Rfam by way of RNAcentral.